Cyanistes caeruleus (blue tit) is the source of this 1713-nucleotide non-coding RNA. The record is from RefSeq and is a predicted model, not a curated record. Lineage: Eukaryota; Metazoa; Chordata; Aves; Passeriformes; Paridae.
GUUGGAGGGCCCGGGACAAGCAGCUCCCGGCGCCGCCAGGAAGCGCUCGCCCAGCCCGGCGGGCGGGUGUCCAGCCGCGGGGUAGGACGCUGGCUUCUCCGCUGUCGGAGGGCCGGAGGGUGGCGAAGCCCAGAGCCGCAGCUCUCGGACAGGGGUCACCGGCCCUGUGUCAGGCCCGAGUCCCCGAGAUGCCCGGGCCAAUCUUGUUAGCUUGUUGCACAGCGCUUUCCGGAGAAAAGCGGUCCAGCCUCAGUUAUUUCUUCCUCGAAGGAUAGUGGUUUCUUGGUGAGAGCACCAAGGCAGAGGCAUUGAGCCAUGUGCCUGUGUGGAUCAGCACAUGAAGAUUCUUACUGCCUGCCUGCAUUUUAAGCCAGAAAUACGCAAUUAAUUUUGCAUCAGGAGUCUUUAUAACUUGCUAUUCACAUCCCUAGUUCUUCACUGUUUCAAGUUUUAAAUGUGCCCAAACUAAACAAAUUGUUCCUUAAGCCCCCUGCUUUUCUUGAUGAUGUACAAGAGCUGUGCUUCUGCACAUACCUGUCAAGUUAGUACUUUGAGCCAUUUUCCCCAAAUCUGGAUGAUAGGUUUGAGAGAGAAGAGAGUUUGCUACAGUUUUACUUUUGCCAUUUUACUGGCGAAUGCUUACAAGGCUUUGCCUAAUAUUCCACUGCAAUCCUACAGCUUCCCUUUGUUUUCUCUUUCAAAAUUGAGUUCAUUUAUUAUAGCUGAAUAGAAGCUAAACUUUAUAAAUAGAAGGAAUAAUGUUGAAGCCCCAAAAUUUUCAUGUUAUUCUUCAAACCUAGGACUCUGUCCCUGAGGAGGAGAAUGCAGCUCAGUCCGUGAAAGCAUUUACUCCCUUGCAUCUCUUCUCAGCUGUCAGCCAAGGGCAUGAUUUGAGCUGCUUGGGCUGGCCUCUCUACCAGGUAAUUGAUGGCUAUUGCUGGCUCAUUUCACACAGGCCAUGACUUUAAUUUCCUAGGCUAUAUAUGAACCAGCAAACUGGCAAACCAGUUUAGAAACAAUAGGUUAGCCACCAGUGCUCUGGGCAGUCCAGUCUCAUUGGGAGAACUUGUACUGCCCAGAAAGAUGAAAACAGUGUAUUGCCAAAGCUGAAGGCUUUUGUCAGCUGAAAACAGAGGCAGUGGCUGUGCAUCUACUCGACCUGCCUGUAUACCUGCUCUCCUCUCCUGUCAUUGCUCUUGAAUGUCCUGCAAAAUAUUUUAAAAAAACAGGUCUGCUGGAUCUCCAGAAAACAGCUCUUCCUCUGUUUUUUUUUAUUGCUCUUUCUAGUUCUUACAUUUAGGUAAAUAAGAAAUCACUCUUCGUGGUUUUUUUUCUGGAGAAGUCCUUUUUUGAAAGAGAGGAUUAACUACCCCCACGCAAAUGCUGGUACCAGUCUGCAUGUGAGGCAGCUAAAACUUCUACAUAUAAAGAAGGCUUUAUUACACAAAUGUGAAUGUUAAACUGAUGGAUGUAUAAGCUCUAAUGUAGUUGUUGCUUUCAAUAGUUAAAGCAUUAUUUAGGUGUAGUCAUUCCUUAGUCUUUUUUGUGUAAGAUCUUAGCCCUUGAAAAAAGAGGCUUGCUUUAAUUGUAUUUUAAUAAAAUCCAUUGGGGCUUUUUAUUUCAUUAUGUAACGGUAUCUAUCUUAUAAUAACACAUUUUCACUAAGGAGCUGUGUGAGAAGUGCUGAAUUAAUAAAACUACUUUUCUCUUUUA